RNAcentral lists this ribosomal RNA (446 nucleotides) under uncultured bacterium. RNAcentral describes it as "partial 16S ribosomal RNA". It matches the Rfam family "Bacterial small subunit ribosomal RNA", at positions 338 to 795 of the family's 1533-position model. The record is from RNAcentral.
CCUACGGGAGGCAGCAGUGGGGAAUAUUGCACAAUGGGGGAAACCCUGAUGGUGCGACGCCGCGUGGGGGAAUGAAGGUCUUCGGAUUGUAAACCCCUGCCAUGUGGGAGCAAAUUAAAAAGAUAGUACCACAAGAGGAAGAGACGGCUAACUCUGUGCCAGCAGCCGCGGUAAUACAGAGGUCUCAAGCGUUGUCCGGAAUCACUGGGCGUAAAGGGUGCGUAGGCUGUUUCGUAAGUCGUGUGUGAAAGGCGCGGGCUCAACCCGCGGACGGCACAUGAUACUGCGAGACUAGAGUGAUGGAGGGGGAACCGGAAUUCUCGGUGUAGCAGUGAAAUGCGUAGAUAUCGGGAGGAACACUCGUGGCGAAGGCGGGUUCCUGGACAUUAACUGACGCUGAGGCACGAAGGCCAGGGGAGCGAAAGGGAUUAGAUACCCCAGUAGUC